Molecule: ribosomal RNA, 429 nt
Filed under: Actinomycetes bacterium
Lineage: Bacteria; Bacillati; Actinomycetota; Actinomycetes
Description: Actinobacteria bacterium partial 16S ribosomal RNA
Rfam family: Bacterial small subunit ribosomal RNA
Source: RNAcentral
UAGGGAAUCUUCCGCAAUGGGCGAAAGCCUGACGGAGCAACGCCGCGUGAGUGAUGAAGGUCUUCGGAUCGUAAAACUCUGUUAUUAGGGAAUAACAAAUGUGUAAGUAACUAUGCACGUCUUGACGGUACCUAAUCAGAAAGCCACGGCUAACUACGUGCCAGCAGCCGCGGUAAUACGUAGGUGGCAAGCGUUAUCCGGAAAUAUUGGGCGUAAAGCGCGCGUAGGCGGUUUUUUAAGUCUGAUGUGAAAGCCCACGGCUCAACCGUGGAGGGGCAUUGGAAACUGGAAAACUUGAGUGCAGAAGAGGAAAGUGGAAUUCCAUGUGUAGCGGUGAAAUGCGCAGAGAUAUGGAGGAAAACCAGUGGCGAAGACGACUUUCUGGUCUGUAACUGACGCUGAUGUGCGAAAGCGUGGGGAUCAAACAGG